RNAcentral lists this ribosomal RNA (190 nucleotides) under Rubia tinctorum (madder). RNAcentral's name for it is "5.8S ribosomal RNA". The stretch from base 5 to 160 matches the Rfam family "5.8S ribosomal RNA". From Rfam's summary of the family: 5.8S ribosomal RNA (5.8S rRNA) is a component of the large subunit of the eukaryotic ribosome. Lineage: Eukaryota; Viridiplantae; Streptophyta; Magnoliopsida; Gentianales; Rubiaceae. The record is from RNAcentral.
ACACGACUCUCGGCAACGGAUAUCUAGGCUCUCGCAUCGAUGAAGAACGUAGCAAAAUGCGAUACUUGGUGUGAAUUGCAGAAUCCCGUGAAUCAUCGAGUUUUUGAACGCAAGUUGCGCCCGAAGCCAUCCGGCCAAGGGCACGUCUGCCUGGGCGUCACGCAUCUCGUCGCCACCCCUCCUCGUCCUC